UGAACGCUAGCUACAGGCUUAACACAUGCAAGUCGAGGGGCAUCAGUUUGGUUUGCUUGCAAACCAAAGCUGGCGACCGGCGCACGGGUGAGUAACACGUAUCCAACCUGCCUCAUACUCGGGGAUAGCCUUUCGAAAGAAAGAUUAAUAUCCGAUAGCAUAUAUUUCCCGCAUGGGUUUUAUAUUAAAGAAAUUCGGUAUGAGAUGGGGAUGCGUUCCAUUAGUUUGUUGGGGGGGUAACGGCCCACCAAGACUACGAUGGAUAGGGGUUCUGAGAGGAAGGUCCCCCACAUUGGAACUGAGACACGGUCCAAACUCCUACGGGAGGCAGCAGUGAGGAAUAUUGGUCAAUGGACGCGAGUCUGAACCAGCCAAGUAGCGUGAAGGAUGACUGCCCUAUGGGUUGUAAACUUCUUUUAUAUGGGAAUAAAGUUGUCCACGUGUGGAUUUUUGUAUGUACCAUAUGAAUAAGGAUCGGCUAACUCCGUGCCAGCAGCCGCGGUAAUACGGAGGAUCCGAGCGUUAUCCGGGUUUAUUGGGUUUAAAGGGAGCGUAGGUGGACAGUUAAGUCAGUUGUGAAAGUUUGCGGCUCAACCGUAAAAUUGCAGUUGAUACUGGCUGUCUUGAGUACAGUAGAGGUGGGCGGAAUUCGUGGUGUAGCG
Molecule: ribosomal RNA, 662 nt
Filed under: uncultured Bacteroidales bacterium
Lineage: Bacteria; Pseudomonadati; Bacteroidota; Bacteroidia; Bacteroidales
Description: bacterial SSU rRNA
Rfam family: Bacterial small subunit ribosomal RNA
Source: RNAcentral